GCAGUUGGCUGGUGUUCCUGUUGGCAGGUGGCAUAGCACAAGAUUGGGCUGCCAGAUUGAGGAAGCAGGGAAGAUAGGAAAGCACUCUAAGCCGGUGGCUGGGCUUCCGUGGUGGCUGGGACAGCAGCAGUAGUGCUGUCCAUCUGCUCGUCCGAGGGGUGGCACAUCCUAGCCUCUAUCUUUUCCCUAGAGAAGAUCCCUUCGUCUGCUCUUCCCCCCCCCCCCCCCCCCCCCCCCCCCCCCCCCCCCGUCUCAGCCUCAGCCUUUUAGUGUGUGAACAGUUCUGGUGUGACUCAUCAGUGCUUUUGUUAGCGCCUUUACCAGCAAGUACUUGUUAAACACUUAAAUCUUACAAAUGGAA
RNAcentral lists this long non-coding RNA (361 nucleotides) under Pongo abelii (Sumatran orangutan). RNAcentral's name for it is "lincRNA". Lineage: Eukaryota; Metazoa; Chordata; Mammalia; Primates; Hominidae. The record is from RNAcentral.